Molecule: ribosomal RNA, 459 nt
Filed under: uncultured bacterium
Lineage: Bacteria
Description: partial 16S ribosomal RNA
Rfam family: Bacterial small subunit ribosomal RNA
Source: RNAcentral
CCUACGGGCAGCAGCAGUGAGGAAUCUUGGUCAAUGGGCGCGAGCCUGAACCAGCCAAGUCGCGUGAGUGAAGACGGUCCUAUGUAUUGUAAACCUCUUUUGUCGGGGAGCAAAAGACGCCACGCGUGGCGUUCCGCGCGUCCCCCACGAAACAGCAUCGGCUAACCCCGUGCCAGCCGCCGCGGUAAUACGGAGGAUGCGAGCGUUAUACGGAUUUAUUGGGUUUAAAGGGUGCGCAGGCGGAAGCUCAAGUCAGCGGUAAAAUUGAGAGGCUCAACCUCUUCGAGCCGUUGAAACUGGUUUUCUGGAGUGAGCGAGAAGUAUGCGGAAUGCGUGGUGUAGCGGUGAAAUGCAUAGAUAUCACGCAGAACUCCGAUUGCGAAGGCAGCAUACCGGAGCGCAACUGACGCUCAUGCACGAAAGUGUGGGUAUCGAACAGGAUUAGAUACCCGUGUAGUC